Molecule: long non-coding RNA, 2813 nt
Filed under: Homo sapiens (human)
Lineage: Eukaryota; Metazoa; Chordata; Mammalia; Primates; Hominidae
Description: HSALNT0300540
Source: RNAcentral
AGUGGGUUCUUUGAACAGCUUUCUCUUUUCUUAUUUCUUGCCCCACUUUCUGCUUGUAAAAAGGCCUAGAGGUAAGCAGCCCUGGACUGUUGCAGCUACUCAAGAAGGUGUGGCCUUUGCUUCCUGGCACUCAGAUGGCAGCUGACCUCUAGGUAUGCAUCAUUCACAUCUGAGACAGGAAAGAGAGGGAAGGACCAAGGGUGAGGGGCUAAAUGAAACAGCCAGUGAGGUCCACUCCCUUUCAAAAGCUGACCUGAAGCCUCAACCCAGGACAUCACUAGCACAUCUGGGUCACAUGGGCUUCUACGGUCUGGCCUGGGAAUCUAGACCCUCAUUAACUGCAUGGUACCCAUUGGGAAGUCUGUUCUAAUCCCACACUCAGAUCCAGUUGACAUUUUUGACAUGGACCAGACAUCAGAUUUGACACGUUUGAUUAUAGUUGAUACAGGGAAAUGCCUGUAUCAACUAUAAUCAGAUUUAUCAAGUCCAGCCGUGAGGCUGGACUUUGGAACCUGGGUGGGGUCUGGAGAGGGAGAGAAGGAAGGAGAGAAAUGUAGGUGGAGCAACAGUGUAACAAGGCUGGGGAAAGUUCUGAGACUGAUGGCUACUUUCUGAGGUGGUCCCCUACAGUUUCAAAGCUUCCCGGAGCUCCACCUCUGCUGAGAAACCCCUCACCGAGCUUCCCUUUCUGUCUGGUUCUGUUGAACGCAAACGACAUCUGCUUCCCACUCCCUGAAACUUCUCUUCAGGGUUCCCGUCAUUGGCUCAAGCUAUGGGAGAGGGCGUGUGAGACCCAGGCCUUCCGGAGGCUUCCAGAGUUAAAGCACUCCCACGGACAGGAGACAGAACUGCCUGUGGAGAAUUGCAUUAUAGCCAAGCGCCGGGAUAUAUAUUUAUCUGUGCCUGACAUUCUCAUCUCUUUUUAAAGGAAAAGCCACACAUUUGGCCAAAAGAUGAAGUGGAAAAAAUGUACUGUUGAACAAAUAUCCAGGAUGGUUGCUCAGAAUGUAUAAAAUGAUGAACUGUGUGGAAAAAUCAUGCCUGUGGCAAAUUGUCAGCAGGCUAUAUUUGGGGGUCCGAAUGCAGGGCCCCUGCCAACUGAGUUCACAGAGCCUUAGUGUUUUUCCACUUCUAUUUAUAGCGAUGCACACAUUCACACACAAAAAAUGCAGGGGACAUUGGACUUCGUUUUUAAAUGAUGAAAAUGUUCGAAAUGUAUCUGGUUUCAGCACGUGAGAGCCGCUCUGCUGUCUACGAUCAGCCUUGCUUACUGAAGAAGGGAUUAAUCAACGUGGGGAAAACAACGUAAUAGGAUCCUUUGGGAAUCUGAAAGUCUGAAAACAACUUUUUUCUCUAUUUCCUUUUUAAAAUGUAAUUCACUUCAACAAAACUUUAUUGAGCACCAACGAUGCAAAAUGUUGAAAUGGACAUCUGAUUGUUGUCUCUCAGCCUCCAUUCCUCCUGCCCCUUUUCCAGCAGCCAUUGCUUCUAGUUGGAGAACCACGUGUUUCCAGUGAGGGAGAUUCUUCUUUCCAGCUUCAGAUGUUGAACACAAGACCUGGCUUGGCCAAUCAGGGCAAGCCAUCCCCCUGGGCACAGUGAUUGGCUCAGGCCCACCCCGAGCUGGACCAAUCAGAGUGAAGAGUGAGACUUUGGCCAGGAAUGCUGAAACAAAGACUGAGCCUUAGUGUUGGAUUUGAAGGAAGAAGCCCCAGGAGCUGCUGAGAGCUGUUUUAUAACCAUGAGCUCAAACUUUAUAGCAAGACAAAGCCAGAAUGUUCAGGUGAAGAAGCAGAGAAUGGCUGUGUGAGUUUCCUAGGCUGUCGGAACAGAGAGCCACAAACUGGGUGUCUUCAAUCCAUACAAAUGUAAUUAUCUCACAGUUCUGGAAGCUGGAAGUCUGAAAUCAAGGUGUCAGCGGGGCUAUGCUUCCUCUAAAGCCUCUAGCCAUGUAAAAUGUGCCUCCUUCGUCUUCUCAUUCUGCCAUGAUUGUAAGUUUCCUGAGGUCUCCCCAGCCACGCUUCCUGAACAGCCUGCGGAACGGGAAUAUGGCUUGUGAACCGUACUGUCUGGGGUCCGAAUCCUGGCUCUAGUAUUUCCCAGUUGUGGAGUUUUGGGCAAGCAUGCCCUCAUCCUCCUGAGCCUCAGCAACGACACUUAUCUGACAAGGUAACACAAACAUUAACUGUUUCUCCUAGUCCAGGGGCCGGCACCUGGUAUGGGCUCAAUAAAUGGCAGUCAUUAUUAUGAGUAGAUAAUUAUAACAAUAAUAAAGUGUUAGAAAAUUCAUGAAAGUACAAGAGGCUUGAAAUUUCUAUAAACCACUCCCCAAACAUGAUAUAAUGUUUACCUACAACCCAGUUUUUCCUUUUGCACCAAAUAAAAUCCAGCUGUGCAGCUGAGAGGCAAUGAAAUUGAGAAUGAUUCUAAAUUGUUGUAAAUAUAUUUUCAAAGGAUUGUAAAUAUAUUUUCAAAGUUAAAUGUAAAAUGAGAGCCUGUUUGUAGACAACUGAGUUGGCUUGUGAUGACAUUUUUUACUAAAGCUGUCAGAGGAUCUGAAAGAAUUUUGCAAAGUACUGGACAUGAUGUUCAGCUUCUUUAGAAAGCUGAUGAGCACUAAGCAAUAUGUUGCCUUGUUGUAAAUAGCAAAUCAGUGUCAUGGUCUUUACUCUCCUUCACCAGAUUAUGUGAUCGAAUAAGUAACCACAUGUUAGGUGGAAACAAAUUGUAAAAGGCUUUUAACUAAGCAACGUUUCAAUAUUUGUUUGUUUUUUUGAGACGGUCUCUCUCUGUCACCCAGGCUGGAGUGCAGU